RNAcentral lists this ribosomal RNA (378 nucleotides) under uncultured archaeon. RNAcentral's name for it is "bacterial SSU rRNA". It matches the Rfam family "Archaeal small subunit ribosomal RNA", at positions 345 to 727 of the family's 1478-position model. The record is from RNAcentral.
AAACUUUACCAUGCGGGCAACCGUGAUAAGGAAACUCCGAGUGCUGGUAUAGACCAGCUGUCCAUGAGUUUAAAACGCUCGUGAAGAAAGGGCCGGGCAAGACCGGUGCCAGCCGCCGCGGUAAUACCGGCGGCUCGAGUGGUGGCCGCUAUUACUGGGCUUAAAGGGUCCGUAGCUUGAACCUCAAGUCCCUUGAGAAAUCCGCCGGCUUAACUGGCGGGCGUUCAGGGGAAACUGGUGUUCUAGGGACCGGGAGAGGUGAGAGGUACUGCCGGGGUAGGAGUGAAAUCCUGUAAUCCCGGUGGGACCACCUAUGGCGAAGGCAUCUCACCAGAACGGCUCCGACAGUGAGGGACGAAAGCUGGGGGAGCAAACCGG